RNAcentral lists this long non-coding RNA (1218 nucleotides) under Cyanistes caeruleus (blue tit). Its description in RNAcentral is "lncRNA (ENSCCEG00000003195.1)". Lineage: Eukaryota; Metazoa; Chordata; Aves; Passeriformes; Paridae. The record is from RNAcentral.
CGGGGACGGCAUUGGGGAAUUUCUGGGAAUUUUUUGGGGAAUUUUGGGAAUUUUGGGGGGAAUUUUGGGGAAUUUUUGGGGGAAUUUUUUUGGGAAUUUUGGGGAAUUUUUGGGGGAAUUUUUUUGGGAAUUUUUGGGGAAUUUUUUUUGAAUUUUGGGAAUUUUUUGGGGAAUUUUUUGGGGAAUUUUGGGGGAAUUUUGGGGAUUUUUUUUUUAAUUUUGAGGAAUUUGGGGGGUCCUGGGAGGGAAUUUUGGGAAAAUCUUGGGAAUUUUGGGGUCCUGGGAGGGAUUUUUGGGAAAAUUUUGGGAAUUUUGGAGUCCUGAGAAGGAUUUUUGGGAAUUUUGGGGAAUUUUUUGGGAAUUUUGGGAAUUUUUGGGGGAAUUUUUUGGGAAUUUUUUUUGAAUUUUUUUUGAAUUUGGGGAAUUUUGGGGGAAUUUUUUGGGGAAUUUUUGGGAUUUUUUUUUUUUAAUUUUGAGGAAUUUGGGGGGUCCUGGGUGGGAAUUUUGGGAAAAUCUUGGGAAUUUUGGGGUCCUGGGGGGGAUUUUUGAGGAAAAUUUUGGGAAUUUUGGGGUCCUGGGAAGGAUUUUUGGGAAUUUUGGGGAAUUUUUUGGGAAUUUUUGGGAAUUUUGGGGGGUCCUGGGGGGGAAUUUUGGGAAUUUUGGGGUCCUGGGAGAGAUUUUGGGAAUUUUGGGAAUUUUUUGGGGAAUUUUGGGGGGGUCCUGGGAGAGAUUCCCGAUUUUUUUUCCAUGGAUUUCAUUCCCAGUUUCCACGACGAUCGCUGGGAGCCGCAGCCGGAGAGCCCCGAGGUUCCGGGGAAGGUUCCGGAAGCGGCUCCGGGGGCUCCGGGGUCUCCGGGGGAUUCGGAUCAAUGGGAGGACGUGAGCGAGGAGGAGGAAGAGGAGCCCGGGGACCCCCCCGGUGCGUCCCAGUUCAAACCAGUUCAAACCAGUAACCCCCAGGGACCCCCCGGGACCCCCCCAGUGCGUCCCAGUUCAAACCAGUUCAAACCAGUAACCCCCAGGGACCCCCCCGGUGCGUCCCAGUUCAAACCAGUUCAAACCAGUAACCCCCAGGGACCCCCCCAGUGCGUCCCAGUUCAAACCAGUAACCCCCAGGGACCCCCAGGGACCCCCCCAGUUCAAACCAGUUCAAACCAGUUCAAACCAGUAACCCCCCGGGACCCCCCCAGUUCAAACCAGUUCAAACCAGUUCAAACC